GACGAACGCUGGCGGCGUGCUUAACACAUGCAAGUCGAACGGAAAGGCCCUGCUUUUGGGGGUGCUCCGGUGGCGAACGGGGGAGGAACAACGGGGGUAUCCCCCCCUUACUUUGGGGUUACAUCAUGGAAACGGGGGUAAUAACGGAUAGGAACUUCUUCUGCCUGGUGGGGGUUUGGAAAUUUCGGCGGUUGGGGAUGGACCUGGGGGAUUCCAGGCUGUUGGGGGGGUAGUGGCCUACCAAGGCUUUGAAGGGUAGCCGGGCUGAGAGGGUGACCGGGCACAUUGGGACUGAGAUACGGCCCAGAGUCCUACGGGAGGCAGCAGUGGGGAAUAUUGCACAAUGGGCGGAAGCCUGAUGCAGGAACGCCGCGUGCGGGAUGACGGCCUUCGGUUGUAAACCGCUUUCGCCUGUGACGAAGCGUGAGUGACGGUAAUGGGUAAAGAAGCACCGGCUAACUACGUG
Molecule: ribosomal RNA, 466 nt
Filed under: uncultured bacterium
Lineage: Bacteria
Description: partial 16S ribosomal RNA
Rfam family: Bacterial small subunit ribosomal RNA
Source: RNAcentral